Molecule: long non-coding RNA, 11805 nt
Filed under: Lactuca sativa (garden lettuce)
Lineage: Eukaryota; Viridiplantae; Streptophyta; Magnoliopsida; Asterales; Asteraceae
Description: long non-coding RNA (LSAT_LNC000541)
Source: RNAcentral
AAAGGAAAGGUUUUGGUUGAGAGCUUUAUCCCUAAGGAAGCCUGACAUAAGUGGUCGUGCACAUAAGGUAUACUUUUUGACACCCAAACGUUUUCUCUCUUCGCGUGAACAAAAGGAAUACACAACCGAAUAUUAGGAAUCAAAGUUCUCAAUUUGUUUAGGGUGUAACAAAAUAGGAGGAGUUAUAACCUUUCACUGAAUGCAUUAAAGUGGAAAUAUUAAAAUUUGGAAUCAUAGAAUACUACAAAUAUCUGUUCAUACCAUGUCUAAACACUAUGGGUCAAAAUCUAGGAUUGAAUUCUCACCAUUCCCUGUACUUGUCUCAGUGUAAUAUGCAAGUAGGACCAAUUCAUAGAUUAAUCAUAUUCAGUAGACGUUCUUGGGUAAAUUCUAUGUUAAUAACAAACUAUUGCAUUUUGGAAAACAAGAUGAAAUUGUUUAAGCAUAUUGCUUGAUUUUAAGGAAUCUUAUUGAUAGAUUCAUUCUUAGGAUAGGAAUCAUUAUUCUGUUGAAUCAAGAAAAUGUAACAUAAACUUUAACAAUUUUCUUACUUUCCUUUUUAUGUAGGGUGAGGGGGAAUCUUCAAGGUCUCAUCCUUCAGAUGAAAAGGAUUGAGAAAGAGAGGCUACAUGGCUGGCAUGAAUAGAAAAUAGAUGGGUAGCCUGAUGCUAUUGCAAAUUCAUUAUAUCCUACUUUUCUAGAAGAAUUAAGAUAAUAUAUUCCAGCCUCUACUGCAAAAUUAAACACAUUUGUAUUUGUAUGUUAUUUCCCCAUGAUUCUUUUAAGCAUAGUUAUCAAAAUUAAACACUUCUCGAUUUGUGUGCUAUUUCCUGAUCAUUAUUUGAACUGAAAUCUUAGUCUCAGUUAUUGCCUUAUCAACAAUGUCCAUAUGAAAGAUGAGAAUUCUCGUAUCAUUUGUUUUCUUGUUUUGUUUAUUUAUUUAUUUAUUUAUUUUUUAUUUUAGAAGCAACACUUUUAGGUCGCCCCUUUUUCUACACAUCACGAUACAGAAUAGUAUCACAUAUUAAUUUAUAUAUCUUAUCUUUACUGUCCUCUAUAUCUUUUAUUGUUACUAUUUGUGGUUGCCAAAAGAAUAUCAUAUUCUCAUUUAUUUUCAUUUUCCAGCUCAUCUUGAUAUCAUAUCAAGUUAUCAGUAGUGUUUUUGCAACAAAGUUAGACUCCACAAUCUGGUCAUUUGAGGCUGAAAAUAAAUCAUCAACAUCAACUUAUCUGUGGUCUUUAUGCACCACUCUCAUUUCGUGUCUUUUUCCCAUGUCCUCAUUGUCCUUAACAACUUGAACAUCACAUAACCCCGUGCCUGAUUCCACCUCAUUUGAGCUUAAAAAAAACCUGUUCAUCUCCUUACCAACAUCUUGAUUACCAUUGAAGUCAUUUUAUUGGCCAUAAUUAUCAUUCACACUUGCAUUAGUAACCUUGCUUUCAGUAUCCAGAUUGGAGAUGAUUGGAGAUACAAGGAGUAGAGGCUUUAAUUAACUCUUUUGCUUUCAGUAUCUGAAUACAACAAAAUGGCACCAAAAACAAAAACUAAGAAGCAACACCCAAAUGAUGAGAGAAGAUGCAACAUGGCCAAAAAGCAAUUAGCCAAAACUAUAUCAUUGGAGACAAUAAACCACUUCAACUUGGCCAAAAAGCAACAUGAAGCAAUUGGAAGCAAUGAAAGAAUACACUAUUUGAAAACUCUAAAUUGGAGCGAGUCACCAAUUUAAACUAAUAAUAUCCACAUCAAGAGUAUAUGCAUAGCUCCUCCACAUGUUGACUUUUUUUUUUUUCUUAACUACAAAUCUAGCCACUUUUUUUCAUAAUUUAAUAAAAGCUUUGUUUUCUAUUUAUCAUUAUUUGUAUACACAUAGCAAGAAAAGCUUAUAACUCCAGUGGGUGCAAUCUUUGGGAUAAAGUAUUUACAUAUAAAAACAUUUUACACAUUAAUUUGAACCAAUCAUUAUAAAGUUAGAAAAAUCAUAUUACUAUAUAAAUUAAUAAAUGUUUGAAAAUCAUUAAUUAAUGAUUAUAACUACAAAGUAUUAAUAUUAUUUUAAUUUACUAACUGCGGUUACUACGAGUUAGUUUAUAAAGAAGCAAACCACUUAAAGAUACCUUUUUCACUAUUCAAAUACUAGAAAUCACUUGAUCCUCUUCUUAACAAACCAUUAUUAUAACCACAAAAAAGAAGAAAUAUGAACAACAAGGUCUAAGAUGAGAGAGAGUCAAUACUCAUAAUUUUCUCAGGCCAACCCCACUUCUUAAAAUUUGGACAAUUUUAUGCAUACAACUAGUCUAGGAAUGACAUUUAUUAUUAACAAAUUGAAAUGAAAUGAAAAUGAAAUUUAAAGAGUAAAAUGGAAUAAGAUGUGUGGUUUUCAAUUGGUACGAAGAGAGUAUUUGUAAUGAUAUAAAGGAGAAAAAAAAGGAAAAAAAAUGAAAAUGUAACUGUUAGAACGCGUUCCACAAACCUUUAACCUUCUUCUAACGGUAACCAAUGCGCUCAAAUCCAUCUCCUCGGCGGUACUGCCCGCCACCCGCCGGAGCCCACUUCCGAUACCCUCCACUCUAAUAAAUAUCAUUAUUAUCUUCCAAUUUUAAGUAUCAUGAUAAGUACUGUGUUGACUUUGGGUUGACAUAAGGAAUAACAAUUAUUUUCUCUAAAAUUCUCCUUGCGAAUCAUUAUUUUGUUGAAAUGUACCUUUUCUUUAUGAGCAUAAUUACUUUAUUGAAUUUAGCUUGCCUUGAUAAAUAUCUUUUAUUUUCGUGAAGUUUACAUUGUCUUAAUAAAUAUCAUUACCACUUUAAUAAUUAUCAUUUCUAAUUCCACAAUAAAUAUCAUUAAAUAGUUUUCUUUAAUAAUUAUUAGACAAAAUUACAAAAAUGGUCCCUGUGGUUUGCCAAAAGUCACGAAGUCAGUAUCUGUUAAUUUUUUUUUGAUGUAAAUGGUCCUUGUGGUUUGCAAAACUUGCAAAGAUGACCCUUUUUACUAACACCAUUAGUAUUCAGCCGUUAGGGACUAAAUCUGUAAGGGUAUUUUCGUCUUUUCAAGUAUAAAGGGACUGAAUUCGUGACAUUUAAUAAACCAUAGGGACCAUUUUUGUAAUUUGUCUUAAAAUAAUAUAAAUGAUAGAAAAUGAAGUGUACUAUAUUCGAACUUUGGACCUCCUACCUUUCUCCCUUAAUCAACCAAAGCUUUAACCAACUAGGCUAGAGCCGCACUUGAUUUAUAUUUUCGAAAACUAACUAAUAUUAUCUACAAAUCGUAAAUAAAUUAAUAAUAAAAUAUUAAAAAAAACAUAUUUUUACAAAAAAAAAAAAUUAAUAAAACAAAAUAUAUUUUUAGCGUAUUGUAAAAAAAAAAUACAAACAAUUAUUUGUUUUUUUACGUAUUUAAAAAAAUAAGUUUCCGUAUACUUUUAAAUACAUAAAAAAAUAACGUAAUAACAUAUUCUACAAAAACAUAAUCCUAAAAAACAUAAAAAAAAGUUUUUUGUAUAUAUUUAUUUUAUGUGAAGAUUCAGUUCCUAACGGCUGAAUACUAACGGUGAUAGUAAAAAGGGCCAUCUUUGUAAGUUUUGCAAACCACAAGGACCAUUUACAUCAAAAAAAUUAACAGGGAUUGAUUUUGUGACUUUUGGCAAACCAUAGGGACCAUUUUUGUAAUUAUGUCUAAUUAUUAUUAUUUAUAGAAAAGAAUUGAAAAAAAAAGCGACACCAUCAAGGCAUCGAAGGAAAACCCAACACCCUCGUUGACUCUCCUCUCUGGUCGUCUCCCUUCCUCGUUGACUUGCUGUUUCCCUGCCGACUUAACGCGGUUCGCUCUGUACUUUUCACUCUUCAUCGAUCUUUCUCAGCCGCGUCACUGUUGGUUCAUCCUUUAUCGCUGCUGUUUCAGUUCUCCUUGUCAUCCUGUAUGCUUCUUAAUUACAAGUUGUUAGACAAUUUCAUCUUAUGAAUCAUAAAUCACAUCAUAAUCAUUUCGUUAUUUCACUAACAGGUGAUUGAAUAUUGUCUAUUUCCAUUAUUUUUGUUUUAUUUUAUAUAUCAAUUAGGAUACUCCACACUCCUUCUAGCCCAAAGUCCAGUACGAUGAACAAAAUUUCCUGCACGUUGAGAAUUCUUUGAUCCUUUAAAAUUUCUUCCUCAAUUCCUCUAUAUUUUCUAAUUCGCAACACGAUUUUUAGAUUUGAUUCUUUUUGAAUGAUGUUUAUGAACAAGCUUCAAUAUUUGAUUGUCAUAAUGAGUGUUUUGCUUGUGUAUAGACUAAAGAGUGCAUUUAGCUUUGAAAUUUCUUCUAUUAUUGAGUUUGAAAUUGAACCCUUAGAAAGGGCAAAGUGGAAGGCGUGUUUUGCUGGCUUCAGAAACAUAUCAUUUGGAACAAGCCCAUAAAUAUUGUUAGUUGAAACACUUAAAAUAAGAUGUAUGCUGAUACUAGAUCCAGUUAUAUAUGAAUUUUAAAUUUGUGUAGAUUGUUGUGCUAAUUUUGGAGAUCCAUAAUUAAACAACCUUGUCAAGCAAGUGCUGUUUUUUUUUGUUUAAAACUUUACAUCUUUCAAUUGUUUGUUGAUAUCUAGUAAAAGCUUGAAAUUUCCUAUAUGCUUUGCAAUUUCCUUCAUGGGAGGUAAUAGUGGAUCUUGUAGUUAUUUCAAGAAUGGUAUUUUGGUGUAGAUUUGUUUGACGAUUACUCUACUGAAAUUCAUAUGGAUUUUACUUAGAUAAAUAAGGAUCUUUAUGUGGGCUAAUCAAAUUAAAACAGAGGCGUUGUAGUUUCAAUGCAUAAAUUGGUUUGUUAUUUUCUUGAAUCUAAACUUAGCCAGAAAAACAGGUUAAUUAAUUGGUAACAGCUUUUAAAAUAAAUUUCAUGGCAAUGUAAUGGUUAUUCUAUAUCCAUACUUUGUUUUUGUGGGAAAGAAUAUUCUAUAUAAAUACUUAGUUAGCUAUAUAUGUUUUGGCUAAAGGAUCCAAAAACCUGUCACAUAAUUAUUAUUGCCAUGAGAUUGCUGUUGUAGUGAUUUAACAGCGUCUCUUUGUAUUUCAAACACAGCAGCAACCGAUUAAUGCUUAUUCUUUUGUGUUCCUUUUCCAGUGUUUAUUUGAUGAGAUUGAAGUUGCAUAUUUUAAAUAUUAAUAAUUUGGAUUUUAUGUACAGGCUUUAUUUGAACCACAAGUUAAGAGCUUCUAGCUUAUUGAGAUACACAAAGGCUUAUCAACCCAUAACUCAUAAUGGUUAUUCUCUCUGAACUCCUCUCAGAAGGAUCUUCAUCUUCUUCAUCAAAUAGUGGUCAUAGUCCAACUGAUGGUCAAAGUUCAUCAACUGAUGGUUACAUGUACGAUGUAUUUUUAAGUUUUAGAGGUGUUGACACUCGUCAUAGUUUCACUGAUCACCUUCAUAAAGCCCUCAUUGAUGCCAAUAUCACUACGUUCUUGGAUGAUGAAGAGAUUGAAACAGGGGAAGAUCUGAAACCAGAACUAGAGACUGCAAUUAAGGCAUCUCGGGGUUCUAUCAUUGUGAUGUCUAAGAAUUACGCUUCUUCAACAUGGUGUCUGGAUGAAUUGGUGUUGAUCCUUGAGCAGCAUAUGACAUCUGAUCAUAUUAUUAUCCCCAUAUUUUAUCAUGUUGAGCCCACUCAUAUCGGGAAGCAACAAAGUAGCUUUGGAGAUGCAAUGGCUAAGCAUAAACAGACAAUGGAGGCAGAGACAAAUGCAAAUAAAAGAAGUGAAUGGGCUCAAAAGAUGGACCGAUGGAAUAAAGCCCUUAUAGAAGUAGCUAAUUUAAAAGGAAAAGACGUCAAUGGAAGGUAACUGUUUUCUUACCUAUAUUUCCAAAAUUCUUCAAUUUUGUUUGAUUAACACAUGAAUGUUAGUAUCAUCUUCUCCCAAUGCAUUUCAAUAAGUUUCUUUAACAUCACUAAAAAGACAUAUNUAUAUAUAUAUAUAUAUAUAAUGUAUUAGGAUAUAAAUUCCACACAUUUUUUUAUGCAUUUUGUGUUUCAUUAUAAGUUACUUCAUUUAGACAAACUGUUCCAAUUAUUUUGUAUGCUUUCUAUUAAGAAAACAAGAUUUGAAGGGUUUGCUAUGCAUCUACUAUUACUUAUACCAUACCACCUUAUAAUCAUAGUGUCUUUUAUGAUAAAUAACUUAUCUUACCUUUAAGCAGUAAAACAUUACUUAUAACUGGCACUUUUUUCAAAACACGCCACAAUGAUAGUUAUGAUGGUCUUGUGUAAAUGCAGUGAAGUUAGGUUGUCCAUUAGUGAAAUCUGGUAUUACAUUGGAACUUGUAUGGUUAGAACAUAGAAGUGUAAACACAAUAUCAUUUUAAUGUGAAGGACUUGAUUAAAAUUAAUAGCUAUGAUAUAAUUUUGAUUUUGGUUCUUUGGACAAAUUAAAUCUCCAAAUCCAGUUUGUUAGUUCUGUGGUUCAUAUAAAAUCUGAUUUCAGGCUAGAGACGGAAUUUAUUGAAGAAAUUGUGAAGGACAUCCAACGUAGGUUACAUGUACGCUUAAGGAGUGUCCGGCAACAACUUAUUGGGAUGGACUAUGAUAUUAAGUUCAUCACUUCAUGGUUGAAAGAUGGAUCCUCACAUACGGCAGACAUACUCACUAUUUAUGGUAUAGGAGGGAUUGGGAAGACAACUUUAGCCAAACAUGUCUAUGGGCUAUAUGCUCACAAAUUCCACAAAAGCAGCUGUAUUGAAGAUGUUAGUAGGGUAUGUGAUGGAAAGUUUAAUGGGUUGCUUGAUUUACAAGAAAAACUAAGCAGUGACAUUUCAAAAACAAGUUCCGUUAAAGUUCAUGAUGCUUCGGUAUACACCUCAAAGAUAGAGAAUGCAGUAGCACGUAAAAGGGUGUUUCUUGUUCUUGAUGAUAUUAGCACGCUUGAUCAGUUGGAUGCGUUACUUGGAAGCAAAGGUUUUCAUCCCGGAAGCAAAAUAAUUAUAACCACAAAGGAAAGACAUUUGAUAGAGAGGUGUGCACUAUUCAAAACAGACAUUAAACCAAAGCAUACAAAGCUCUUGCUUCAAGGCUUACAUGAGACCGAAUCAUGGAAACUUUUGUGUCUCCAUGCAUUCAAAUGCAACUAUCCCAAGACAGGUUAUGAAGGGGUGUUAUAUAAGCUUGUGAAGUAUUGUCAAGGACAUCCAUUGGCUCUUGUAGUAUUGGGAAAAUCUCUAUAUGAUCGAGAUGUAACUUAUUGGGAAGGGUGCAUAGAAGGGCUAAAGAAAGAAACAGAUUCUCAUGUGAAUAAUGUCUUGAGAAUGAGCUUUAACUCUUUGCCAUCCAAAAAUGAUAAGGACUUGUUUAAGUAUAUUGCUUGUUUUUUUGUUGGAAUAGAUAGAGAUGUUGCUGAAACAAUAUUAAAGGCAUGCAAUAUAAACAUAAGAUCUGGAAUCCCGAAUCUCCUCGACCGAUUCCUUCUUUCGAUUGGAUGGAAAAACAAAUUGAAGAUGCAUCAGUUGGUUCAAGAGAUGGGAAGGUUCGAAGUACGUCAAGAAUCACAUGACAAGCCAUGGAAGAGAAGUCUAUUAUGGUGUCAUGAGGAGUCAUUCAGAGUAUUAAAACAAAAAAAGGUAAGAGGUCAUAUGUGGUUUUAAAAGUAUGCAUGUUAAAAAUAUUGUGUAUGGUCUCAACUUUUUAUUUACAUUAUGUUUCUUCUUAGGGUAAGGGAAAUCUUGUUGGCCUUGCCCUUGACAUGCGCAUGCUUGAGAAAGAGAUGUUGGGUGCAUCAUAUAAGUUAAAAACAAAUGCAUUAAGUAAGAUGGAUAAUUUGAUGCUACUACAACUCAAUUAUGUUCACAUGAAUGGGUCUUAUGAGAACUUUCCACCGGAACUAAGAGGUUUGUGUAUGCAUGGGUUUCAUUUAAAGUAUAUACCUUCAGAACUACCUAUGGAGAAUCUUGUUGCUCUUGACAUGUCAUAUAGCAAUAUUGAAUCAUUUAUCGGUUGUUAUAGUAAUCCACAACGACUUGAGAAGAGGCAAAAGGUAACUUAUCUUCAUUUAUUAUUUUUCCAUGUUUAGUUGAAUUUCACUCCCAUUCUAACUUCUUUCCAUUUUUAUAGUUGGAUGGAUUAUGCUUAAAAAACAAAAGGUUGCUUGGAUCAUUGAAGGUUCUUAAUUUAAGUUCCUGUAAACAACUUUGUAGUCUUGGUGACUUUAACCAAUUCCCAGCUCUCGAGAGGUUAAUAGUUAGAAAUUGCACUCGUUUGCUUGAGGUUAGUGAAUCAAUUGAGCAGUGUGUUGAACUUGCCCUCAUCGAUCUAAGCUACUGCAAGCAGCUUAAAAACCUUCCAAGAAUCAUAGGCAUGCUAAAGAAAGUUAAAACAAUGUUGCUAGAUGGUUGUAAUCUGGGUGAAUCUCAAACUGAGGAUACAAAUUUAGAUAUGGAUUCACUGGACAUGUGCAAUGCUAACAAAAACAUUAGCAUAAGCACAAGAACCUCUUUCUCCACCUUUGUGGGUGCUAUACCAAGCCGUUUGAAGUUUUUUUCAAGUUCUUUGCCAAGAUCUCUAGUAAGGUUGUCCCUUGUAAAUAAUAAUUUGUCCACUGAAUCCUUUCCUAUGGAUUUUAGUAGUCUGUCCUUGUUAAAGGAAUUAUAUUUAGAUGGAAAUCCUAUCCAUUCCAUGCCCAAUUGUGUGAGAACCCUUCAUAGGGUUGAGAUACUUAGUAUGCUAAACUGUAAUAAAUUGAAGUUGGUCGAACAUCCUCCACACACACUAAAAAUCUUGCUCUAUUCUGAUCGCGAGUCUUUAGAAAAAGUUGUAUUUGAUCCCAAAAUGUCUCCCCUCAUGUUAUUUUAUUUUCCAAGAAGUUACACCCCUAGGUCGUAUGAAAUUGAAGGCAUGGUGAAAAUCCAGACAAUGGUGGGUGUUGAGGAAAAGGUAUUACGUAGCUUGGGCUGGAUUAAUUUACUCCAUAACAAAAGGAAUGUGGGAAAUAAUCCUACGGAAUCUGGAAUGCAGGUUUUGUCAAGUUAACUGUCUUUCUUUAUUUGACUACAUAAAAUACUAUAAUAUAAUCAUUUAAUUUAGAUGUUUGUAUUUGGCAGAUGUUAUAUGAAUUUGGAAUAUUCAGCACAACAUAUGACGCAGAGGAGAUGCCGAGUUGGUUUAUUCAUAGAAGCGCAGGGCCAUCGAUUUCAUUUACAAUCCCAUCAUCAUCUCCAAAUAAUCUCCUUAAAGGAAUCAACUUCUGCUUUCUGCAGACAAUGAGAGUUUUGUAUGAGUUGCCUGUAAGUCUACAUGAUCAUUUCCGCAUUACACCGAUGAUCACAGUUAGUAAUAUAACAAAGAACCGCAUGUGGAUAUACGAACCUCUCUGGGACAGAUACUUUGUAGAUAAAAAGUGUAGGGUGGUGUUAAGUCAUUGGAUGUUAGGGAUGAAUGAGAUGGAGCCUGGUGACCACAUUACUGUUACUGUUACAGAGCCAUCUUAUGAACUUACAAAGGAGUGUGGUGUGAGUCUUGUGUAUGAGGAUGAUGGAGAGAAGAAGGAUGAAGAAGAUGUGUUGGGUUAUUACAAGUCAUGGAAUCACAUAAUUGGUGGAGAUCUCUCUCCUUUUCAGACAACUACAGGACAAUUCAUCCUAAGAAACCAGCAGUUUGUUACAUGUGGCUUAUGUAUAAUGACCCAUUUAUUUUAACAGAUAACUUAAAUCUUUUAAACAACUGGAUCAUAUAUACUAUUGAUUUUAUUGACCCAUAAGAUAAGAUGUUGUUUUAUAAAAAUAUUAAAGAUAANUAUAUAUAUAUAUAUAUAUUAUUGAUUUUAUUGACCCAUAAGAUAAGAUUUUGUUUUUAUAGUAAAAAAUAAAAGUUGUACUUUUAAUUUAUAAAAUGAAUAGAUGCAAGCAUUGAUUCAGAAACGGGGACAGUUUUGGUCCCAGGGGUAUUUUGGGAAAACUUUCCUAAUUUAAAGUUUUGAGUUAGUUUAGGAUUCCAAUUAGUUUAGUAUAAAUAGGGUAUGGUUGUGUGACAUUUUUAAUUAAGUUUUUUUUCAGUAAUAAAAUAUGGAGAACAAGUAAUUUUCCCAGAUUUCUUCCUCCCCUGUUUCGCUCAUGCUCUGUUUCUUUUCUGCACACAGUUGAAGUUUCCAUUCUGUCAUAAUCAAGUGAAUUGAUUCUUGUGUUAAGUUCAUUUUCAAGAGAAUUAAGCGAAUUAAUUCCUUCAUCACUUUCCAUAAAUAGAUGGAUAAUGACCCAUUUAUUUUAAUACAUAUGUCAUAACUUAAAUCUUUUAAACAGGAUCAUAUAUACGAUUGAUUUUAUUGACCCAUAAGAUAAGAUUUUUGGUUUGGUAUGGUGUGGUGGCAUCCAUUAUACCCUACCCUGAGGAGUAUUUAAACUUUUCAUUUUCUAGAUGAUUGUCAGCUAAGAAAAUUCUAGUAGCAAAAAGUAUUUGAGAGGCCCUUCCUCUUGAAAGAAUGGGAAAACCCUAUUAUUUAUAUAAUUCAUUAUCAGUUAGUUGUUUCUGGUUGUGAAUUUCCUGCUUAUUCUCUUUACUCCGUGUGGGGCUUAUCAGCACACUCAAUUGAUUAAGUCUUUCGAUAUGUUGGAUCACAUAAAUAUAUAUGGACCCAAUACGUAUGACUACUUUGUCCAAGUAGGUUGUUUGUGAACAAUGAUUAACAUAUCACUUUUAAUCUAUUUUCAGUAUGAAAGGAAAAGUUUUGGUUCAGAGCUUUAUCCCUAAGGAAGCUUGACAUAAGUCGUCGCGCACAUGAGGUAUACUUUUUGACACCCAAACCUUUUCUCUCAUCGCGUAAACAAAAGGAAUACACAACCGAAUAUUAGGAAUCAAAGCUCUCAAUUCGUUUAGGGUGUAACAAAAUAAGGGAGUUAUAACCUUUCAUUGAAUGCAUUGAAGUGGAAAUAUUAAAAUUUGGAAUCAUUGAAUACUACAAAUAUCUGUUCAUACCAUGUCUAAACACUAAGGGUCAAAAUCUAGGAUUGAAUUCUCACCACUCUCUGUCACAGUGUAAUAUGCAAUUGAGACCAAUUCAUAGAUUAAUAAUUUUCAGUAGAUGUUGUUCUUGGGUAAAUUCUAUGUUAAUAACAAACUAUUACACUUUGGAAGACAAUAUGAAAUUGUGUAAGCAUAUUGCUUGAUUUUAAGGAAUCUUAUUGAUAGAUUCAUUCUUAGGAUAGAACCAAGCAACAUGUUGAGAAUGCUUAAAUUGCUUCAAGAAUUUGGAAGAGAUGUGUCACCAGGACUCAUUAAUUCUGUUGAAUCAAGAAAAUGUAACAUAAUAUAUACGCUUCCAAGUAACUAUCUGUUUUCAUAACAUUUUGUGUUGUAUCCUGUAUAAUAUAUAACUUUUAAAAUUUUCUUACUUUUCGUUUCUAUGUAGGGUGAGGGGGGAUCUUCAAGGUCUCAUCCUUCACAUGAAAAGGAUUGAGAAAGUGAGGCUACAUGACUGGCAUGAGUUGAAAAUAGAUGCAAUGGGAAAAUGGGUAGCCUGAUGCUAUUGCAAACUCAAUCGUCUAUGACCUACUUUUCCAGAAGUAUUAAGAUAAUAUAUACCAGCCUCUACUACAAAAUUGAACACAUUUGGAAUUGUAUGUUAUUUCCCCAUGAUUCUUUUAAGCAUAGGUAUCAAAAUUAAACACUUCUUGAAUUGUGUGCUAUUUCUUGAUCAUAAUUUGAGCUGAAAUCUUGACCAUUGCCUUAUCAACAAUGUCUAUCGUGUCUAUGGACUCAAAAGCUCAAAUCCUUGAUAGGAUUCUAUAAUUUAUUUGGAUACUAUGUAAAAUUCGCUUGCUUCACCUUAAUAUUUUAAGACUCCGAUUCUGAAAGAUGAGAAUUC